Molecule: RNase P RNA, 222 nt
Filed under: Sporomusaceae bacterium
Lineage: Bacteria; Bacillati; Bacillota; Negativicutes; Selenomonadales; Sporomusaceae
Description: partial RNase P RNA component class A
Rfam family: Bacterial RNase P class A
About the family: Ribonuclease P (RNase P) is a ubiquitous endoribonuclease, found in archaea, bacteria and eukarya as well as chloroplasts and mitochondria. Its best characterised activity is the generation of mature 5'-ends of tRNAs by cleaving the 5'-leader elements of precursor-tRNAs. Cellular RNase Ps are ribonucleoproteins.
Source: RNAcentral
UUGCCGGUAAGGAUGGAACGGUGCGGUAAGAGCGCACCAGCAGUCAGGUGACUGACUGGCUAGGUAAACCCCACCUGGAGCAAGACCAAAUAGGGAAGGUAUGAAGCUGCCCGCUGAACCUUCCGGGUUGCGUCGCUAGAGCUGUCAGGUAACUGCCAGACUAGAUAGAUGAUCGUCACCGCGUAAGCGGAACAAAACUCGGCUUAUUGAUCACUCACAGUC